Molecule: unclassified non-coding RNA, 243 nt
Filed under: Hyphodiscus sp.
Lineage: Eukaryota; Fungi; Ascomycota; Leotiomycetes; Helotiales; Hyphodiscaceae
Also listed under: 1 other name
Description: partial contains 5.8S ribosomal RNA, internal transcribed spacer 2, and large subunit ribosomal RNA
Rfam family: 5.8S ribosomal RNA (bases 1-52)
Source: RNAcentral
AACGCACAUUGCGCCCCUUGGUAUUCCGAGGGGCAUGCCUGUUCGAGCGUCAUUAUCAACCAUCAAGCUCUGCUUGGCUUUGGGCGUCGUCCCCCACGGGACGCGCCCUAAAGACGUAGGCGGUGACCCCGAGUCUCAAGCGUAGUACCAUCUUUAGCUUAGAGGCCUCGGCGGCUGCUCGCCCCUAGAAACCAUCACCUAAAGGUUGACCUCGGAUCAGGUAGGGAUACCCGCUGAACUUAA